This 702-nucleotide ribosomal RNA is filed under the name uncultured bacterium. Its description in RNAcentral is "bacterial SSU rRNA". It matches the Rfam family "Bacterial small subunit ribosomal RNA", at positions 56 to 755 of the family's 1533-position model. The record is from RNAcentral.
UGCAAGUCGGACGGGAUUGAGAAGCUUGCUUUUCAUGAGAGUGGCGCACGGGUGCGUAACACGUAUGUAACCUACCUUAAUCAGGGGGAUAGCCUCUCGAAAGAGAGAUUAACACCGCAUAAAAUCAAUUUAUGGCAUCAUAGAAUGAUCAAAUAUUUAUAGGAUUAAGAUGGGCAUGCGGAACAUUAGCUAGUUGGUAAGGUAACGGCUUACCAAGGCUACGAUGUUUAGGGGAUCUGAGAGGAUGACCCCCCACACUGGUACUGAGACACGGACCAGACUCCUACGGGAGGCAGCAGUAAGGAAUAUUGGUCAAUGGGCGCAAGCCUGAACCAGCCAUGCCGCGUGCAGGAAGACGGCCCUACGGGUUGUAAACUGCUUUUGUACCGGAAUAAACCUUUGUAUGUAUACGAAGCUGAAUGUACGGUAAGAAUAAGGAUCGGCUAACUCCGUGCCAGCAGCCGCGGUAAUACGGAGGAUCCAAGCGUUAUCCGGAUUUAUUGGGUUUAAAGGGUGCGUAGGUGGCCUAUUAAGUCAGGGGUGAAAGACGGUAGCUCAACUAUCGCAGUGCCUUUAAUACUGAUGGGCUUGAAUACACUAGAGGUAGGCGGAAUGUGACAAGUAGCGGUGAAAUGCAUAGAUAUGUCACAGAACACCAAUUGCGAAGGCAGCUUACUAUGGUGUCAUUGACACUGAGGCACG